CCUACGGGAGGCUGCAGUGGGGAAUAUUGGACAAUGGGCGAAUGCCGGUUCCAGCCAUGCCGCGUGUGUGAAGAAGCCCUUCUCUGUGUAAAGCACCUUCAGUGGGGAAGAAAGCCUUGGGGCUAAUACCCUCGAGGUAGGACAUCACCCACAGAAGAAGCACCGGCUAACUCCGUGCCAGCAGCCGCGGUAAUACGGAGGGUGCGAGCGUUAAUCGGAAUUACUGGGCGUAAAGCGCGCGUAGGCGGUCUGAUAAGCCGGUUGUGAAAGCCCCGGGCUCAACCUGGGAACGGCAUCCGGAACUGUCAGGCUAGAGUGCAGGAGAGGAAGGUAGAAUUCCCGGUGUAGCGGUGAAAUGCGUAGAGAUCGGGAGGAAUACCAGUGGCGAAGGCGGCCUUCUGGACUGACACUGACGCUGAGGUGCGAAAGCGUGGGUAGCAAACAGGAUUAGAUACCCGAGUAGUC
Molecule: ribosomal RNA, 465 nt
Filed under: Vreelandella stevensii
Lineage: Bacteria; Pseudomonadati; Pseudomonadota; Gammaproteobacteria; Oceanospirillales; Halomonadaceae
Description: partial 16S ribosomal RNA
Rfam family: Bacterial small subunit ribosomal RNA
Source: RNAcentral